UCUAAGGUAAAGAAAUCUUAUGUUUUUCGAAUCAUGAAAAAACGAAUUGUGUUCUAGGGCUCCUGUCGCUCCUCGAAUGCUCGAAGACGAAGGAUAAGAUUUGGAUUUGUGUUUGGGAGAUUAGCUUCAGUUUCAUCAGGAGCAGCGCCGAAAAGAUUACAAGAUAAUGAACCAUUAAUGCGAGCACUUUCAAAGCUCAUCAAUCUCAACAGUCCCGAUCUGGUCCUGUUCGUUGGUGAGGCACUGGUUGGGAAUGAUGAUGUGGAUCAAUUAUUGAAGUUUAAUCAGGUUCUGUCUCUAUAACUAGGCUCUCACGCCUCUCCUAAUCCAAGACUGAUUGAUGGAAUUCUGCUCACCAAGUAUGAUACCAUUGAUGAUAAGGUUGGAGCUGCGCUGUCGAUGGUUUACAUAUCUGGAGCACCUGUCAUGUUUGUUGGCUUUGGACAGUCUUAUACAAACCUCAAGAAGCUCAAUGUCAAGUCCAUUGUGAAGACACUCCUUGAAUGAGAAAAUGUGUUGGUCUCACUCUUUCAGUUAUAGUUAUCUAAGCACGUCAUCCUUCUCUCUGUUAUCAAUUCUCUAUCCAUGCUACAACUUUUAUACUGUCCCUGUGUGAUCUCAUUACUUUGAUGUUGGAGGUGAAUUAUUGCAUGCUGUUGUUAACUCUCUC
This is a long non-coding RNA of Cornus florida, 670 nucleotides long. RefSeq lists it as uncharacterized. NCBI's taxonomy places the organism in Eukaryota, Viridiplantae, Streptophyta, Magnoliopsida, Cornales, Cornaceae. The record is from RefSeq and is a predicted model, not a curated record. The transcript is spliced from 3 exons.